This 937-nucleotide ribosomal RNA is filed under the name uncultured spirochete. Its description in RNAcentral is "bacterial SSU rRNA". It matches the Rfam family "Bacterial small subunit ribosomal RNA", at positions 1 to 936 of the family's 1533-position model. Lineage: Bacteria; Pseudomonadati; Spirochaetota; Spirochaetia; Spirochaetales. The record is from RNAcentral.
GCCCUUAGAGUUUGAUCAUGGCUCAGAACGAACGCUGGCGGCGCGUUUUAAGCAUGCAGGUCGAACGGUAAGGCCCUUCGGGGUACACGAGUGGCGAACGGGUGAGUAACACGUGGGUGACCUGCCCAGAGGUUGGGGAUAGCCUGUGGAAACACAGGGUAAUACCGAAUAAUCUUUAGCACUAUGGUGCGAUAAGGAAAGGGGCUUCGGCCUCGCCUUUGGAUGGGCCCGCGUCUGAUUAGUUAGUUGGUGGGGUAACGGCCUACCAAGACCGCGAUCAGUAGCCGGCCUGAGAGGGUGAUCGGCCACACUGGGACUGAGAUACGGCCCAGACUCCUACGGGAGGCAGCAGCUAAGAAUCUUCCGCAAUGGACGAAAGUCUGACGGAGCGACGCCGCGUGGGUGAAGAAGGCAGGAAUGUUGUAAAGCCCUUUUAUAGCUGAGGAAUAAGGAUAGGAGGUAAUGCCUGUCUGAUGACGUUAAGCUAUGAAUAAGCCCCGGCUAAUUACGUGCCAGCAGCCGCGGUAACACGUAAGGGGCGAGCGUUGUUCGGAAUUAUUGGGCGUAAAGGGUGCGCAGGCGGCCCGUCAAGUCUGGUGUGAAAGACCGCAGCUUAACUGCGGACACGCAUUGGAAACUGGCAGGCUUGAGUACUGGAGGGGGAACUGGAAUUCCAGGUGUAGGGGUGAAAUCUGUAGAUAUCUGGAAGAACACCAGUGGCGAAGGCGAGUUCCUGGCCAUGUACUGACGCUGAGGCACGAAAGCGUGGGGAGCGAACAGGAUUAGAUACCCUGGUAGUCCACGCCGUAAACGAUGUACACUAGGUGUUGGCCCUUGCGGGUCAGUGCCGGAGCUAACGCGUUAAGUGUACCGCCUGGGGAGUAUGCCCGCAAGGGUGAAACUCAAAGAAUUGACGGGGGCCCGCACAAGCGGUGGA